UACGGAGGGGGCUAGCGUUGUUCGGAAUUACUGGGCGUAAAGCGCACGUAGGCGGCUUUGUAAGUUAGAGGUGAAAGCCCAGGGCUUAACCCUGGAAUUGCCUUUAAGACUGCAUCGCUAGAAUCGUGGAGAGGUGAGUGGAAUUCCGAGUGUAGAGGUGAAAUUCGUAGAUAUUCGGAAGAACACCAGUGGCGAAGGCGGUCACUGGCUGGCCACGU
This 218-nucleotide ribosomal RNA is filed under the name uncultured bacterium. Its description in RNAcentral is "partial 16S ribosomal RNA". It matches the Rfam family "Bacterial small subunit ribosomal RNA", at positions 524 to 738 of the family's 1533-position model. The record is from RNAcentral.